This 21-nucleotide non-coding RNA is filed under the name Arabidopsis thaliana (thale cress). The record is from RNAcentral. Lineage: Eukaryota; Viridiplantae; Streptophyta; Magnoliopsida; Brassicales; Brassicaceae.
UAGAUUCGGGCGCUACUAGUA